CAGUAGGGAAUAUUGGUCAAUGGACGCAAGUCUGAACCAGCCAUGCCGCGUGAAGGAUGAAGGCCCUCUGGGUCGUAAACUUCUUUUAUUAGGGAAGAAACCUCAGGAUGCGUCCUGAGCUGACGGUACUUAAUGAAUAAGGAUCGGCUAACUUCGUGCCMGCAGCCGCGGUAAGACGAAGGAUCCAAGCGUUGUCCGGAUUUACUGGGUUUAAAGGGUGCGUAGGCGGAAAAUUAAGUCAGUGGUGAAAGCCCGCAGCUCAACUGUGGAACUGCCAUUGAAACUGGUUUUCUUGAAUAUAGSUGAGGCAGAUGGAAUAUAACAUGUAGCGGUGAAAUGCUUAGAUAUGUUAUAGAACACCGAUUGCGAAGGCAGUCUGCUAAACUAUUAUUGACGCUGAGGCACGAAAGCGUGGGGAGCGAACAGGAUUAGAUACCCUGGUAGUCCACGCCCUAAACGUUGAUUACUCGSUGUUGGCGAUAYACUGYCAGUGGCUAAGCGAAA
This 504-nucleotide ribosomal RNA is filed under the name uncultured bacterium. Its description in RNAcentral is "bacterial SSU rRNA". It matches the Rfam family "Bacterial small subunit ribosomal RNA", at positions 352 to 856 of the family's 1533-position model. The record is from RNAcentral.